CCCAUAUUUAUCACGGUAAUAAUACAAAACCAAUGGUGUCCAUUUCUCAAUUGUAGAGGACAAAUACGUCUUCUAAAUAGAGGUAGUCCAGAACUUCCUGCUCCGGUCAAGGGUUCCGUCGAUAUUCUCUCUCAAAUUUUCCCGCAAAAAUUCGAGAGAAAAUGGAUGGGAAAAUGGAAAUCUCUCUAGACAAGCUCCCAAUCAAACGCUUGGACGCCAUUGAAGAAAAUGGCGCCGAACGGUUCCCUACUGAUGUAGGUUACGACGACAAGCGGGUGUCACUAAUUCGGCGAAUUGACUUCGCAUGGGCUGUGGAGAAGGACACGAAGAAGCAGAAGAAGGCGUCGAAGGAGGAGGCAACGCCAUGGCCGUGGCAGAGCCUGGUGGAGAAUUUGCGGUUGGCUCAUCAAGAGCUUUCUGUCAUAAUUGAUCUGAUCAGCACUGUUGAAGCUAAUGAUGCAGUAACAGUGGCUAGCAUGACGAGGCCAAAGCCAUUACCCAAUGAAGUUCUUUCUGACCUUGGCGUGUCUGCUGCAACCAAGCUACAAUGCUUCAGGCAUCUUAGUAAAUAUUUCAAGCAGUCCGCCAAAGCUUUGGAACAGCAGAUUGCUAGGGAGGCGAGAUUCUACGGCGCUCUCAUCAGAUUGCAGCAAAACUGGAAAGUUAAGCGGCAACGUGUGGCUGCUUCUGCUCCUGGGAAUGAAGGUUUCUCUAUUGAUCUCUUCAGCAAUUCAUUACAUGAUCCAGUAGCUGUAUUUCGCCCAUCUUCUUUAUCUACAGUUCGUGUUGACCAUGAUUCUGCUGGCAUGCUGGCUGUCCAUUUACCUCCAAAUUCAUGUCGCGCUCUUCAUUUUGGGUUUCUUGGUGGACAUUUGGGUAAUAUUCCAAAGGAGCCUAGUAAAACAAAAACUCAUGGUCCAGAUGAGCUUCCUUCUAAGGAAAUUAAGAAACCUUUGAGUGAUAAUGAGUGUGUUAAAGAAACCCAUUCAGUUCUCCGCGAAGGUCAUCAGGCAAUCUUUGAUGAGCAGGUUUUUGAUUUAGUGAAUCGCGAAGCAUUCAACUCAUCAUCAGGAGUCAAUGUGACUGGAAUACGAGAAAACUAUUUACAACUGAACAUAGGUCAAGGAGCCUCUGUUUUCAUGUCACUUGUGCCAUCUGGACAAGAUGACAAAACAGCCGAUGGCAUGGGAAUGCAGAAUCUUGAAAGUGCCAUUUUACCCAUGGACACAUUUGAUGGGGUGAAAUUAUCAGAUGGAAAACAUGAUAAUGAUAAAAAGAAGUCAGGGUUUCCCAAUCGCAUUAGUAGUGAAAUAUAUCUGAAGCAACUCUUUCAUGAGCAUGUAUUUGUUAGAGCAAAGGAUAAACACAUUUCUGCUGGCAGGACUCAGCCUUCCAGUCAGCCAGCAAAGGAUGGCUUUGGUCUUCUGGGUCAUUUUUGCAUGUCUCUAGCUCAUAGAAUCUUUUCAAGCAAAGUUCUUAUGGAGUUGGAAAAUCUGGUUUCCAGAGUUCCAUAUCUUCAUUUGUUAUCCCAUCCCACUUGGCAUUCUAGGACAUCUUCAUGGACACUCUUAAUGAAGGUUCCUGAGUCCAGUUUUCAUCCAGGCUGCCAAACCCGGACAUCAGACAUCCACAAUGUUAAGAAUAUUAUCAAGACACAUUUUCGGACUAAGGUGGUGAUAAACGAUGAUUGUAUCAAUGUUGAGGGGGAUGGUGCUCCUAAUGUUGUUGGCCUGUUCAAAGGGAGUUCCGAGGAUGUGUGUUCCAUGAACAGAUAUGACUGUGACUUGGCAGAUAUUCCUGUGAUACUUUUGCAGCAGGUUGCAAGUCAAGUUAUCCGCUGGCUUCAUGAGGAAGCUCUUAAGGUGGGAAUAAAGGCAAAUCGGGACUUUUUAUGCUUGUCCUUUGAGAUGGACCAGGGUGAAAUGCUCAGCCUGGUGGCUCAUGUGAACCCAGAUGAUCCCCAAGGAUGCAUUUCUUGGUGGCUGGUAAUGGAUGAUGGGUUCUCAGAGGACCUCAAAUUUCACACAGAUGCCCCUGAUGGUGGGUCUGAAUAUAGGAAAUUCUUGGGUCAUUUGUCUUUGGAAGUUUUGUACUCAACACUGAUGGACUUGGUUAGCUUGUGCAACGGUGGAGGGAGGCAUUGAUUUUGGAUUUUGCUUAUGUUCCUUGCUGCAUCAAAGGAGAAAGCUACAGGAUGCUAGAUUCAUCUCCCGCUAGCCACUGGUAUCGUCUCAUAUGCAACAACCACUGAACCACUGCUGCAGGAAAAUGAUAGCAGAAAACAGCAGGCCCCCACAAGGACUGAUGACAUCCCAAGUAGUUGAGUAAAGUAGUUGGGUAAAAAUCUGCACAUGUAACUGUGAAGAUCAUGGACAUGGGAGUAAUCUGAUUAAAGUAGUUGGAUAUAGGAAAAAUGAGAAAGAGUUUGGUCGCUUUGAGUUUAUGAACAUAUUGAGCAGGAUGUGAGGGAAAAGGAAAGUAUCAACCACCAACCCAGCAUAAGAUUCCCAAGUCCCACCCAAGGGAAUGUUGCUGGUAAUUCAUAAGCUAAGAAAAAGCCGUUUUGUGCUUACCCCAGUUCAGAAACCAAGUAAUUAAGAAGCCAUCCGCAUAUAAUGGAGAAGACGGAAUUGUAACUGGAAAAUUACCCUCACAAACAGAUUGCCCACUGGCUAUGACUUCCCAAGAGUAAGGCAUUAAAGUCUAGAACAAAAGGGAUCACGUAAAGGAGAGUAAUUAGGAGCAUGAUUAGUGAGAUGGAAGGAAGCACAUUGGGUUGCUUUUUCAAAGGAAAGGGUUGCAGGUUCACAACGACAAAUGCAAGGGUGAUAGAUAUCAGAACCAUGAUGAUCUCCAAACCCAUGACUUCCUUGCUUCAACCACGGUUAAUGCAGUUGAAGACAGUCCAGACGUUGGAAGCCAAGAAGGUCAGAUUUGGCCCAUGUGGCUUUCAAUGCUUCCACUUGAUAUAUAUACCUUUCAUUCUUGGAGGUUAAUGGAGGGAACUGAGGAUUCACAAAGAACCUCACAAUCCAUAAGAGUCAUUUGUUGAUAUCUGAAUCUGAAUCUCUGAGCUCCGCUUUCUACAGCCAACCAUUCGCACAACUCCUGUUCCGACGUCAUGGAUCCCUUGGGCAGAAAAUCUACUUUCAUUUCAUAUGCCUAUCUAAAGAUGAGCUAAAUGGGGUGAUGAAACCUCAUCAUAAUUUGUAACCUGAAUUGCCUUUAUGUUCAUGAAAUGUUCCCCACCAAAA
Molecule: RNA transcript, 3254 nt
Organism: Vitis riparia (riverbank grape)
Lineage: Eukaryota; Viridiplantae; Streptophyta; Magnoliopsida; Vitales; Vitaceae
Gene name: mediator of RNA polymerase II transcription subunit 17
Exons: 10
Source: RefSeq, a predicted model, not a curated record